ACCUGGAGGAAGGUGGGGAUGACGUCAAAUCAUCAUGCCCCUUAUGCUUAGGGCUACACACGUGCUACAAUGGGUAGUACAGAGGGUUGCCAAGCCGUAAGGGGGAGCUAAUCCCUUAAAGCUACUCUCAGUUCGGAUUGUAGGCUGAAACUCGCCUACAUGAAGCUGGAGUUACUAGUAAUCGCAGAUCAGAAUGCUGCGGUGA
RNAcentral lists this ribosomal RNA (205 nucleotides) under Clostridioides difficile. RNAcentral's name for it is "partial 16S ribosomal RNA". It matches the Rfam family "Bacterial small subunit ribosomal RNA", at positions 1161 to 1365 of the family's 1533-position model. Lineage: Bacteria; Bacillati; Bacillota; Clostridia; Peptostreptococcales; Peptostreptococcaceae. The record is from RNAcentral.